This 253-nucleotide ribosomal RNA is filed under the name uncultured bacterium. RNAcentral describes it as "partial 16S ribosomal RNA". It matches the Rfam family "Bacterial small subunit ribosomal RNA", at positions 524 to 776 of the family's 1533-position model. The record is from RNAcentral.
UACGGAGGGUGCGAGCGUUGUCCGGAAUCACUGGGCGUAAAGGGCGCGUAGGCGGCCUGAUAAGUAGGGGGUGAAAUCCUGCGGCUUAACCGCAGGGCUGCCUUCUAAACUGUCGGGCUAGAGCACGGUAGAGGCAGAUGGAAUUCCCGGUGUAGCGGUGGAAUGCGUAGAGAUCGGGAAGAACAUCAGUGGCGAAGGCGCUCUGCUAGGCCGUAACUGACACUGAGGGACGAAAGCUAGGGGAGCGAAUGGG